UCCAGACCUCAACCCCAUAGAAAAUCUGUGGCGGGAGUUGAAAGUCCGUGUUGCUCGGCGACAGCCCCAAAACAUCACUGCUCUCGAGAAGAUCUGCAUGGAGGAAUGGGCCAAAAUACCAGCUACUGUGUGUGCAAACCUGGUAAAGACCUAUAGUAAACGUUUGACCUCUGUUAUUGCCAACAAAGGUUAUGUUACAAAGUAUUGAGUUGUAUUUUUGUUAUUGACCAAAUACUUAUUUUCCACCCUGAUUUACGAAUAAAUUCUUUACAAAUCCUACCAUGUGGAUUCAUGGAUUUUUUUUUCCACAUUCUGUCUCUCACAGUUGAAGUGUACCUCUGGUGCAAAUUACUGACCUCUGUCAUCAUUUUAAGUGGGGGAACUUGCACAAUCGGUGGCUGACUAAAUACUUUUUAGCCCCACUGUACAUAGAUACACUCAUAUAUGUGUGUGUGUGUGUGUGUGUGUGUGUGUGUGUGUGUGUGUGUGUGUGUGUGUAUAAACUCUUUAACAGAGAAUAUACAAUUGAGAGAGAGAGAGAGAGAGAGAGAGAGAUAUGAACUUUGGUGCUGCACUGAAGAAUUGCAUAAGAUAGAUUAUGCAAAGCUGCCAAAGUCCAAGAGUAAAAAGUGCUCAGAUUUUAAAUGUUGAUGUAAAUUUAUUGUUGAACAUUUUUUUCUUAAUGUCAUUUACUGGGAACCCAGCUUACUGAACAUAGUGUCUAAGCCAGUUUAUAGCCCUUAAAAUCAGUGAAAAGUAAUCACUGAUUUUCAGUACCUCUCUGUAACAGGGAUUCACAACUAAUAAAGCACUGAUCAAAGAUGAGAUCAUAAUGUGUAAAUCCAUACUCUCAGGGUUUUACUGUGCUCUUGGGUUCCUAAUCUGUUCCCUACAGUGUUUUGUUCUUUAUUGAAUAAUGUUGAUCAUCUGGCCGCAUAUAAUACUAAACUCUUUAACAGAGAAUAUACCAUUUUAACACAUAAAAACACCACAGCAUAUGUAAGGUGGUCUUACCUACAAUGCCAUGAAAAAAACUAACUAGCCAUGACAUUGUCAUCUGGGCUGAUGACAUGUCCUCCUAUGGUUGAAUUUUUUCAGUUGUCCCUGCCAUGUAUGUAGCCAAGAUGGCAAUAAUUGGGCCUUGACGGUGUGAAUCCACUUGGGUUCUCAAAAUAACGAGGAAAGGGUUUCCUUACACCUGUUAAUCUGAAAGAUGGAUUUUGGUGUCAAAAGCACAGUAACUGCAAUAAAAAACUACAAAAUAUCCAGUAUUAAAUGUAUCCGUAAACAACAUAAAAUUGUUUAAACUCACCGCUUGUUGAGAAGUCCAUCUGGAAAUCAGUAAGCAUGGAAUAAAGAGUAUGAAUUUACACAUUUUUUCCUCAUUAAAUGUACUAUGUGGGGUUCCAUUAAAUUGUUACACAUCACAUUCUGAUUGAAAUUCUGAAUGAUCCAAAUUACAGAUGGUAUAAAAGAUGAAGCUAGCCACCAUGACAUCAGCCACUGGUUAGUAAAAUCCUGUUAGGAAGCGUUAAGAUGAGUGUUUUCUCUGUUGCCAUGUUGGUGUUUUGAAUAUUGUGUAUUUGUGACAAGUGAGGGGUGGCUCUGACUCUGACUCUGCACACUCAUUGCCAGAAGGUUGAUUCUGUUCAACUGGGUGUUGAGGUUUAAGUAGGAGGAACAUUUUAUCACUCAUCCACGUGACUUCUACUAUGUCAGAUAACUGUGGGUUUCCUCAACCUUAUAAACAGUUGGUUUGCAUAAUUAUGAAGAUAGCACCACUGACCAACAAUGGCCCACGAGCUCAGCUAUGAUCAUUAAUAUGCAAAUUGUCAUGACCAAUGAUCACAGAGGGACAGCUACCUACCGUGCCAACAGAGAGUUGAGGAAUGGCAACAAUCACAGCACUGUAACAUGGUGAAAAAUGUACCCUCAGGCCCCCUCCUCUAUUCAGAAAUGGUUGUUCCUUUUUCAUGUAAAUAAGGUGGGGGAAACCUGCAGACCGAAGAAGUCACUUGGAUGAGUGACGAAACGUUUCUCCCAGUGAAAACGCUACGUCCAGAUGAACAGAAUCAACUUUCUGGGAUGUCUUUACCUGGAGGAUUGACCAUGCACACUCACUAGCUAACAACUUACAACUGAUCAGAUAAUGAGCAUAAUCCUCCUCUCUGAUUCUGAUAACCACUGAGAUGCACAAAAUGGACUGAAUGCUACGCCCAAAUGAAAUUAAACUGGUUAUUGAGCCAAUAAAUUCAUCAGUAAAGCUUUUAAAGAGGUUGCAGGGCGAGGGAGUCAACAGUAGUUUUCCCAUACACUUAUACAACCUCAGUGGAACCACAGGGCAGAUGAGUGAAAGGAAUCCAGGUUCAGAAGGAUUCCUUGUUGGCUUCACUUUUCAGACCUGUGAGCUUCACCCAUUUGCUAUACUGUCUAUAUAACUAAAAAAUUAAUGGCCAUAUUUCUAACAGUGACAAAAAAUUAUCUUCAUGUGGGACCCCAUCAUUCCUAAUCUGAAUCUGGUUUACAAAAUAGCUUUUCGAGGCCUUUAAGGGGGAACAAAAUCCCAGCUUAAAACUCUCUGAUGUGUCAUGAGUGCAGUCCUUGUUUUCUUUGGUCACACUGUUUUUUGCUGCAGUUAUUGCACUACUCAGCCUAACUGGACCAUAAACCUCAUUAUUUGGUAUUGGCCCCAAAGAAUCGUACAGUGAGGCUUCCUAUAGUCACCUUCCAUUAAUCACUCAGCUGUUCUACUGGGAAACCUCUAUAACAGAGCUGGAGACACUCCACAGCACUCGUGUUUCUAUUUGCUGCUAUCAUUAUUAACAUUUUCACCUCUUUCUGUACAUUAACACAAAUGUGAUAUUUAAAGGAGUAUGUCCACUUUUUUGGAGUUGGGUAAUUUAUGUUUAUAGUUUAAUUUAUAGUUUAACUCAUGCAGAAAUGUUAUUCGGUUACAUGGCUAUUGGGCCUGCCUGCUGAAAUGGACAAAAUAAGCAUCUGUAUUUGCUUUGCUUAGUUAAAAAAUCAACAUGUGACGUCAGACAUGCAGCAGCUUUAUUUACAGCGCAUCCAUGUUUGAAUGGGAACCUGUGAAAACAAAAUAGACAUUUGCCAUAAUAGUAAGUGCACUGCUUGAGUCAUCACCUGCCUUCAAAAGUGGAUCCUGGAUCUCAGAUUGGGGCUUUGAUUAUAGUGUCACAGAUUCUUUGUUGGUUUGUUCCCACCCACUCAGUAUUUAAGCUCAUCAAGUCACUUGACGAUAACUUGGGACUAUCUGUGGUAUUUAAAGCAUAACCACUUGUUUUGUAGGAGCCUAUAGGAAGUCUUGAGUGGAUCAGAAUGAGUCAUCUGUCUUGUUUUAGUAUAUGCAGGGAAGAAUGCAUCACUGAAUGGUAAUAAAUGGCAGUUUCCCUCCUCAGUGUGUGACACUGUUUCUUCAUUCACAGCAGCAGCAGCUUUGGAUACAUGUCAAAGGUUUUGACUGUAUCUCAUGAUAUGAUUUCAUGGUUAUACCGCAGUAUGAUUUUAUCAC
Long non-coding RNA from Astatotilapia calliptera (eastern happy), 3532 nucleotides. NCBI's taxonomy places the organism in Eukaryota, Metazoa, Chordata, Actinopteri, Cichliformes, Cichlidae. The record is from Ensembl.